GGACAAGUGCAUACAGUUGGCGUUUAGCAGAUUCUGCCAACAAUGCGAUAUUUCUGAGUGCCACAAGGCCGGGAUUAAGCGGAUUUGAAGCAAAGCUCACCAAGCAGAGGCCUUUAACAAGACGGAUGGUGCUGAUGAUAGCCAGCUUGAACUCGGCUGUGUACGUGCGUGACAUUGCUUUGUGUCUGGGAGGUCUCUUUCUGAACCGUGUCCAGGUUAAGCAGAAUUACAAAGAGCUCGGUGGGAAUAAAAACCAAAGGCUCUCUGACUGAUAUUUUGAUUAGAAAAUGAUUUCGCUUACAUCCACUGCUUCUGUUCAACUGGAAUGAGUUGCUCCAGAUCUUUUUUAGUGUCAAAUCCCCCCUCCCGUCCUCCCAGCAUCCUCUCUGCUGUGAAGCCCUCAGCCGGCAGCCCGCGCCUCUCCUCUCUCUCUCUCAUUAACCGCAACUGUCAGAUAA
Misgurnus anguillicaudatus (oriental weatherfish) is the source of this 458-nucleotide non-coding RNA. NCBI's taxonomy places the organism in Eukaryota, Metazoa, Chordata, Actinopteri, Cypriniformes, Cobitidae. The record is from RefSeq and is a predicted model, not a curated record.